RNAcentral lists this ribosomal RNA (109 nucleotides) under Escherichia coli. Its description in RNAcentral is "partial 16S ribosomal RNA". It matches the Rfam family "Bacterial small subunit ribosomal RNA", at positions 1 to 100 of the family's 1533-position model. Lineage: Bacteria; Pseudomonadati; Pseudomonadota; Gammaproteobacteria; Enterobacterales; Enterobacteriaceae. The record is from RNAcentral.
UUAAAUUGAAGAGUUUGAUCAUGGCUCAGAUUGAACGCUGGCGGCAGGCCUAACACAUGCAAGUCGAACGGUAACAGAAAGAAGCUUGCUUCUUUGCUGACGAGUGGCG